Molecule: long non-coding RNA, 3252 nt
Filed under: Mytilus galloprovincialis (Mediterranean mussel)
Lineage: Eukaryota; Metazoa; Mollusca; Bivalvia; Mytilida; Mytilidae
Source: RNAcentral
GUCUCUCCUAUUGAUUCAAUCACCAGUGUUACUUGCAACUAAAUCAAGAGGUUAUGAUAAUGUUCCGAAUGUUGAUUUUUGGAUUUACGUUAUUUGUGCUGCCAUCAACGACCACAUCAAAAUCUGAUGGGAAUGUAGAGGUUCGGUUACUGGAUAAUCAAAAUGCUCCAUUAGUAGCAACCUUGGACAUGUCGAAAGCAGACGAACGUGUUAAGAAGUUUGUAAGUGAUGCAAUCGAAGCAAUAUGAAAACUAUAGAGGAGACUAUGAGAUCCAAGAAGUUUGUUAUUGAUACACUUGAUGCGAAAAUGAACACUCUAGAAGGAAUUAUGGAAUCGCAAAUUAGCAAUUUUGAACGGAACUUGACCAAUCAGUUAACUGAUUACAUCAACGAAAUGGUUGUCAAGGUAGACGAAGAAAACGGUAAGAAAUAUACAUAAAUUGGCAAGUUUAUUUUUCAUUAAGCAUUCGAUCAAUUUGUUGUAUCGAUAAUAAUUCAUUCAAAUGCAGUGAUCACCCACUUUCACAAUCAAAGAUUGUGUUUCAUAUGAAAAAAGGAGUAGUGAAGUUAAAUGUCAGUGCGAUAGCAACCAAACUAAAUAUACAGAUCUAGAUUGUUUUUAGCAUGCACUGAAACGGCCCAAUUAGUACACUAAAGUGUUGUUUUAAAUUUCGUAUUGAUAAAAAAGAAUGUAAAAUAGUUUCCAAGACAGACCAUAAUAGAAAAACGGCACGACGUGUCUAACUUUUUUACGUGUCGUGCUUGAAUGUCACGAAUAAAAGUGUAUGCAUGAUACUUAAAGUAAAUUAAAUAUUUAAGAAAUUCUAGUAGCUAUGAUGAGUUUAUUUACAACCACUGAAUCCAUGCCACUGCUGGUGGAGUUUUCUUUCGCCGAAGGUAUCAUCAGCCCAGUUAAAAUAUUCUGUUCUUGAGGUAGAAUAGCCUUAAUAUUUAAAAAAAAAUCAAUUUAUAAUUAUUACCACAUCAAUGAUAAUUCAACACAGAAGUUUCAACUAAUAGACUUUGACUUAGUAAUAUUAGAAUAAGUAAAGCAAAUUAUCAUGCUUUACAAAUUAUAAAAUACAUUAUUGUUAAAAGUAAGUAAGAAUUACAAUAUUACAGAUAUGUCAUCUGUUUACACUUUUCUUGAUGUUAUCUGUAUUUCCAAUUUCAUUAAAUAUAAUUUAUACCUGACAAUAGCACCUGUUUUGUUGCUAAUUAUUCUCCACAGUUGAAAUUCAAGGAAACAUUGUGUUAUGGAUGAUUAUUAUCUUAUACAGUGGUUUAAAAAUGUUCAGAUUUCGUUAAUCGUAAAUCGAUAUAUAGAGGGUUUCCGAUCUUAUACCGUACCAACCGUAAUUGAACCAGCCUUGAGAUUUAAAAUUAAUAUAUGGAACAUUUUCGUUAAACUGACAGUUGUUUUGAGAUUCGUAAUAAAUUUUCUUGGGUAAAUUUGUAUUUGAAAUUUGAUACGUUGAUAGGAUUAGUAUUAAAAGCAAACAGUAUUGGUUGUAAUUGAAUAUUCUUCAAGACAACCGUUUCCCGAAAAAAAUAUUGUAGAAAUAUUUCAGUGAAGUUUAAGCAUUAAGGACCCUGUCAAGCCAAAGAAGUUCUAUUAUGUUUCUUUUUUUCUGCAUUAUUAUUAUAUUGUCUAACAUAAGUUGGAGAUUAAUGAUUAAAAAAACUACCUGAAGUUAGAUAAGAAAAAAAAACCAACAAUAAAAUUUCAUAGAAGACACACAUAUUUAGCUGUAGGUUAUGUUCUUUAGGUCCAUGAUCUAUUCCUUAGCUUUAUUUUUUAGCGUUCCUAGUGAAGGUUUAUUCAAAAAAUUGCCUCAGACUUCAAACCAUUUUGAUUAGAAAAUUGUCAUCAUUUCAUCACCUUUAAUAGAAUCUCGGUGUAAGGUUACAUUUUAAAACAUUUAAUUACUAGAAUAUGAUAUGGGUUUUCCGAAUUAUUAAAUAUUAAUGUAAGAUGAUAAAUUAGACUAUGAUUCUCUGCAUCAAAUCAACAUAAUUUACAAAUUUAAAUUUAGAUGAAAUUUUAUAAAAAAAAAACGAAAUCGCUUGUUUGAUGAAAAAUAUAGCUGUGGCAUAAGUAUGGGCUCAAAUGUAAUUGAUCAAAGCCACAGGCAAAUAAAAGAUACUUUUUAUAGUAUAAUAGUAAAGGAUAAAGUCCUUGUCCUCUUCAUAAUCCUUUUUAAAAUAACAUAGUUUAAUAGGUACAUUUUGAAAGCUUUACGAUUGUUGAUCAUACACAACUUGUAGUAGGUAUGGUAACCAAAGUUAACAUGCUAUUAAUUGUAUUACCACUUUCGCACAUGUAAGGCAAAAUUAAAACAAUCUUCAAAUUGUAUUCGUCUAAAGCGUUUGUCCUACCAAAGCAGGCGAAAACCUAUAUGACUAAAACAGUACCUUUAUGUACUAAUAAUAUACUAAGCUAAGAACUUCGUUUCGCAUUUUUUUAUAUUUUUUUGCUUCUUUAUGUGGCCUUCUAUCUAUAGGUUUAUUUAGGGGGUAUCUUGAUCACUCAAUCAAUUCAUUUAUUGAUUCGACUUAAUAUAUUUUUUUUAAAUCGUCAUUUAUACUUGCCCCGACCUUAAAGAAUGAUCCGUAGCAUGACCGAAUUAGCGCCACAUUACUCAGUGAUAUAACUUUUAAGAUAAACACUUUAACGUUAAAAACAGAUAAAAUGCAAAAUGGACAAAGCAGGACAAAUUUAAACAAGGCCUACAAAAAUCAUAUUUACUCGUAAAUCCUUUUCCAGAGCAUUUUAAUUAAAAACUGGCCAAAAGUGUAGAUAUUUUCAGCUUUCACUUUUCAAGCCAGAUCUUAAAGAGAAUAUUAUUUUAUUUGGUUAAUCUGGUUAUUCAACCCACAUGAAACAUUUAAUUGCAUGUUCAAGAUCCUAAAAGUCAAUUCCAAACUCUAAUGAGUAAGUUAUAGUAAUUGUUGUAAAAUCGCUUGUGAACAGUCAACAAAUACGUUUGGAAAACGAACUUUCUAUGUAGUUGGAAUACAAAGUUGUGACGAUAUUGAUAAGGGUUUUUUUUCAAAUUUUGCCUCCAACUCUAAAGAUAAAAUGGUAUGAAAUAAGCAUACUUAUUUAUCAUAUACAAUUAGUAUUUGGUUUACAAAAACGAAAAUAUUAAUUUCAAUUUCAAAAUUUCUUUUCUAGGGAAGAGUUCCACCUACAUUCGAUGGGGAAGAAGUGACUGUUCUGGAGUUAAUACAGAAAUCGUCUAUUCAGGU